This 301-nucleotide ribosomal RNA is filed under the name uncultured bacterium. RNAcentral describes it as "partial 16S ribosomal RNA". It matches the Rfam family "Bacterial small subunit ribosomal RNA", at positions 509 to 807 of the family's 1533-position model. The record is from RNAcentral.
CAGUAGCCGCGGGAACACGAAGGGGGCUAGCGUUGUUCGGAUUUACUGGGCGUAAAGCGCACGUAGGCGGAUCGAUCAGUCAGGGGUGAAAUCCCAGAGCUCAACUCUGGAACUGCCUUUGAUACUGUCGAUCUGGAGUAUGGAAGAGGUGAGUGGAAUUCCGAGUGUAGAGGUGAAAUGCGUAGAUAUCGGGGGGAAUACCAGUGGCGAAGGCGACUUUCUGGGAUAUUCCUGACGCUGAGGAGCGAAAGCGUGGGGAGCAAACGGGAUUAGAUACCCCCGUAGUCCCUGUCUCUUAUAC